AGCAGCCGCGGUAAUUCCAGCUCCAAUAGCGUAUAUUAAAGUUGUUGCAGUUAAAAAGCUCGUAGUUGAAUUUCGGGGUUAGUAGGUUGGUCAUGCCUCCGGUAUGUACUGAUCUCACUGAUUCCUCCUUCCUUAUGAACCGUAAUGCCAUUAAUUUGGUGUUGCGGGGAAUUUGGACUGUUACUUUGAAAAAAUUAGAGUGUUUAAAGCAAGCUAACGCUUGAAUACAUUAGCAUGGAAUAAUGAAAUAGGACGUUCGAUCUUAUUUUGUUGGUUUCUAGGAUUGACGUAAUGAUUAAUAGGGAUAGUUGGGGGCAUUAGUAUUCAAUUGUCAGAGGUGAAAUUCUUGGAUUUAUUGAAGACUAACUACUGCGAAAGCAUUUGCCAAGGAUGUUUUCAUUAAUCAAGAACGAAAGUUAGGGGAUCGAAGACGAUCAGAUACCGUCGUAGUCUUAACCAUAAACUAUGCCGACUAGGGAUCGGAUGAUGUUAAUUUUUUAAUGACUCAUUCGGCGCCUUA
Molecule: small RNA, 520 nt
Filed under: uncultured Glomus
Lineage: Eukaryota; Fungi; Glomeromycota; Glomeromycetes; Glomerales; Glomeraceae
Description: SSU rRNA
Rfam family: Eukaryotic small subunit ribosomal RNA
Source: RNAcentral